AACGAACGCUGGCGGCAUGCCUAACACAUGCAAGUCGAACGAGAUCUUCGGGUCUAGUGGCGCGCGGGUGCGUAACGCGUGGGAAUCUGCCCUUUGGUUCGGAAUAACGGUUGGAAACGACUGCUAAUACCGGAUGAUGACGAAAGUCCAAAGAUUUAUCGCCAGAGGAUGAGCCCGCGUAGGAUUAGCUAGUUGGUGUGGUAAAGGCGCACCAAGGCGACGAUCCUUAGCUGGUCUGAGAGGAUGAUCAGCCACACUGGGACUGAGACACGGCCCAGACCCCUACGGGAGGCAGCAGUGGGGAAUAUUGGACAAUGGGCGAAAGCCUGAUCCAGCAAUGCCGCGUGAGUGAUGAAGGCCUUAGGGUUGUAAAGCUCUUUUACCCGGGAUGAUAAUGACAGUACCGGGAGAAUAAGCUCCGGCUAACUCCGUGCCAGCCGCCGCCGUAA
RNAcentral lists this ribosomal RNA (449 nucleotides) under uncultured bacterium. RNAcentral describes it as "partial 16S ribosomal RNA". It matches the Rfam family "Bacterial small subunit ribosomal RNA", at positions 29 to 523 of the family's 1533-position model. The record is from RNAcentral.